AUUGAACGCUGGCGGAAUGCUUUACACAUGCAAGUCGAGCGGCAGCGCGGCCUUCGGGCUGGCGGCGAGCGGCGAACGGGUGAGUAAUGCAUCGGAACAUGCCCAGUCGUGGGGGAUAACACUUCGAAAGAAGUGCUAAUACCGCAUACGUCCUGAGGGGGAAAGCGGGGGAUCGCAAGACCUCGCGCGAUUGGAGUGGCCGAUGUCAGAUUAGCUAGUUGGUGGGGUAAAGGCCUACCAAGGCGACGAUCUGUAGCUGGUCUGAGAGGAUGAUCAGCCACAAUGGGACUGAGACACGGCCCAGGCUCCUACGGGAGGCAGCAGUGGGGAAUUUUGGACAAUGGGGGCAACCCUGAUCCAGCCAUUCCGCGUGAGUGAAGAAGGCCUUCGGGUUGUAAAGCUCUUUCGGCAGGAACGAAACGGUGGGCUCUAACAUAGUCCGCUAAUGACGGUACCUGAAGAAGAAGCACCGGCUAACUACGUG
This 484-nucleotide ribosomal RNA is filed under the name uncultured bacterium. Its description in RNAcentral is "partial 16S ribosomal RNA". It matches the Rfam family "Bacterial small subunit ribosomal RNA", at positions 29 to 507 of the family's 1533-position model. The record is from RNAcentral.